This 253-nucleotide ribosomal RNA is filed under the name uncultured bacterium. Its description in RNAcentral is "partial 16S ribosomal RNA". It matches the Rfam family "Bacterial small subunit ribosomal RNA", at positions 524 to 776 of the family's 1533-position model. The record is from RNAcentral.
AACGUAGGGCGCGAGCGUUGUCCGGAUUUAUUGGGCGUAAAGAGCUCGUAGGCGGCUCGUUGCGUCGGCUGUGAAAACUCGAGGCUCAACCUCGAGAGGUCGGUGGAAACCGUCUGGCUAGAGUCCGGAAGAGGAGAGUGGAAUUCCCGGUGUAGCGGUGAAAUGCGCAGAUAUCGGGAAGAACACCCGUGGCGAAGGCGGCUCGCUGGGACGGUACUGACGCUGAGACGCGAAAGCGUGGGGAGCGAACAGG